This 73-nucleotide ribosomal RNA is filed under the name Streptomyces atratus. RNAcentral describes it as "partial 23S ribosomal RNA". It matches the Rfam family "Bacterial large subunit ribosomal RNA", at positions 2852 to 2925 of the family's 2925-position model. RNAcentral also lists the same sequence under 452 other names. The record is from RNAcentral. Lineage: Bacteria; Bacillati; Actinomycetota; Actinomycetes; Kitasatosporales; Streptomycetaceae.
GUUGAUAGGCCAGAUGUGGAAGCCCGGUAACGGGUGGAGCUGACUGGUACUAAUAGGCCGAGGGCUUGUCCUC